Molecule: long non-coding RNA, 4206 nt
Filed under: Ananas comosus (pineapple)
Lineage: Eukaryota; Viridiplantae; Streptophyta; Magnoliopsida; Poales; Bromeliaceae
Description: long non-coding RNA (ACOM_LNC044907)
Source: RNAcentral
UUCUCUCUCUACUCCAUGCGUGCGUGGGUGUGUGCUCGGGCUGAAGGAGAAAGAAGAAGAAGCAUCAGCUUCUUUAUAAUGCACCCCAAGGCAUUAUUCACUUCAGGCAGUUUUUACAGUUGGGAACAGUUGGAGCCCUUCUGAAUGUCCGUUUGAGCUCAAAUUUGACAGGCAGGCUCAGUUUAACGUACUGAGUAAGAAUAUAUUUUAAGUUUUCAGUUUCGACCCCAUUUGGUCACCGAAAACUGUGCCGAACUGUAAUCUUUAUCAGAUAACUCUCGGAUUUUAUUUCUCACUCUACGGGUGUCAGAAAAAUAUGAAACUUUAAAUCUAGCCUCAUAAAAAUAUUUCUGACUUAUCCUCCAAUUUUUAUAAUUUUCUGAGACUGUGCAUUUUCUGCUAAUUUGUCUGUCCCGUUUCCAACAGAAAAUUCUAGAUCUUCUGUUUUCAUUGCGAUUUCAGCACAAGUCACUUCUGACUUAUGUUUUACUCUUACAAAUCCAAUAAAAAUAGUUUCUCACACUAUUUUUAUUUAUUUUUAUUUUUAUACCAAAAUCUGGUAUGUUACAUUCUCCACCCCUCAAAAGAAUUUCGUCCGCGAAAUUCAAACAACACCUCAAUUCAGUUCCUCGAGCAAUUGAGGGUGCUAACUCAUUCUUCCACUCCAGAGCGGCUCCACACCAUCGUGUUUGAGAAGCGGCUCAUUCUAAAGGACAUGGGUUUGAUAUUAAACACAUUUGCAAAAGGUGAUACAAAAGUGCAUCACGGGUCUUGCAAGUCAUAGUGGCAGCGCAAGUCGGUACUCGACGACUCUACGCGCCCCAACACCACUCGCCAUUCGGUACACAAAGAACUUUUCUUUGCACUGGCCUUCCCUUUUGGGAAUACAUUCCAAUUCGAUCACCGACAUUUCUUAUAAGCAAUAUCACCGGUGCAUCGCUCCGUCGUGAGUGCUCUAAUUUCGCACUGACCCUUAACUUUAACGCGAGAUGGCCCACUUCGGCACAUCUCAAGUCUCAGUUCGCUUACGAGCAUAGUCUCCAACAUCACGUGGCUUUCCACUAGAUGCCACAUGCCACGAUCAACAUCAAACUAUUCUCGCAACGAGCUCACGCGAGCACUUCGUUCGUGAAUUCGAGUCAAACUCCUCGAUAAGGCUAUCUGCCAAAUCGCUCUCGUCGGUCUCCACAGGUGGACCAAAGGCCACCAAUCCUACGUAGGCCUACCGCCUAAACCUAUCUCAAUACGCAGCGUCUCUCGCUCGCAAAUGCAGACCAAAUCAUGAUCGUGCUAAAUUCUCACUUGGGAAUUCGCACACACUUUAACCAGGAGCAACUAAGAACCCAAACCACCUCAAGUCCUCGGGUUGGGUCACAACCAUACUCGGUGUACCAUCGGUCACACAAUCUAUCACGUGGCAUUCCACGCUCCCGGGUCUAAGCCCGGACUACCGUCCUGACCAGAACUCUGCUCUACCCGUAGGUACCGGGCCGUUGUCACUCACAGCUGACUGCGCCUGCCCAAAGGGCCCAGGCUCCACAGUCCACUAAUGGUCCAGGCACGGGUCGUCCCCAAGCACUACUCGCCGUCGUAGUCCCACACGACAUACUCUGCCGAAUCACACGUACCAAUAUCGGCUCCUAUGCACCUAGUGCGAGUCACCAGUCCCACGAGUGAUCCAUGGCACGCUUCACACCUAGCAAUGCUCAAGUGCUACUGCCAAAACACUCACUCGGUUGAAUCCACAUCCGUACUCUACGGGUCUCUACACUCGAGCGCUUUACGCCCCUACAGCGUUCCACACGAAGUCCAAUGUUAGGCAAUUCUUGCCUAUGUACGCUGACUACACAAGCACGACUCUCUUACCUCACAUUGAGGUACUACUAGGCCCACGUGCUCAAACUUGGCCACUAAUCGAUCGUUCUCUCAACAGUGAUGCUACUUUCGCUGUUAGACCCAUCGGAACGACAUCCGAAAUACUCGGACUACUCGGGUGCCCAUAGGCAUUAUGGCUCAACCCUCGCAAUUUACUACUCAUAUUGCUCUAAGAGUCAUUUGGACACUUCUAUCUCUACCGCGAGACUCACUUCUCGCCAUAGAUUUCUUCUAGCACUUCGCUAGUGCCAUCUGGCUCUAUACCUGUACUGGCAGGUACUACGCCCUCACAUAAUACAAAACUCCAUUUCUAGAGCAAUCAAAUCUAUCUCUAGAAAUCCACCAUGAGAGAGAGCUUAGAAGCUUACCUCUCCAAGAAGCUCCAACCAAGGAGAAGAUGAAGAAGAUGAGGAAGACCUCCUUCUUUUUCUCCUUCUUUCCUUUCCUUUCUUCUUCCUCUUCUUGUCUUCUGGAGAGAGAAAGAGAGAUAUGAGAGGGUGUGUGGGUGAGAAAUAAGAGAAAAGAGCUCUCAUACCCCUCACAUAGCCCCACAUGUUGCAUAAGUGCAAACAAGCCUCUCAACUUUUAUUCUUUUACAUUGCCCUCACUGGGCCACUUUCGGGUUCGGGGACCGGUCUCCCCGAUGAGGAACCGGUCUCCGAGAGCUUCUCCCCGCAGUCAGCAGAGCUCACACCCGAUGCAACCGGUCUUUCUUUGGGGGACCGGUCUCUCAGGGACCGGUCUCUCCAGCAGGGACCGGUCUCCGAGAGCUGUCCACGAGGGACUUAGCCGAUUUUUCCUCCCUUUCGCUGUCUGCGCGUGCGGGGACCGGUCUCCCCCACCAGGGACCGGUCCCCGAGAGCACAAAACCUGCAGUUUUGCAGAUUUGAUUUCCAAAGCUCUCGAAGAUCCCUAGUAAUGCACUUUUGCAUUAUUUGACGCCUUCGGCCUUUCCGAAGCGUACCAACCUCGCUCUUUGGCCAAUUUGACCGGGGUUCGAUGUUCGCUUACCGAAGUUUCGGUAUAUUACAUACCCACUCGACAACUAGCCGAUCCUCGACGAAGUCCAACUCUCAGCUCUCGAGAAUUCACUUCGUUACAACCGUGCUAUACCGGUACACCCCUGGUGUUAAAUCGGUAACACAUGUUCCAGAAUUUCGAUUUUGCACCGCUUCGACUCCGAUUCAUGCCGAGCAACGCUAAAACCUUUCUAACUCUUUUAGAACCCAAUUCUAACCCUUCCAACAUUGUUGGAAUAUCAAUUGGACUUUGUCCAACUACUUCUCUCGACGCACUUUGGUCAAUUUGACCAAAAGUGAUCUAACACGACGAGGAUUCCGUUAAUUUCUCAAAGGUCACAAGGGCCGCCAAAACUCGCGAAGUUCCAAGUCUCCGCUCGCCUCAAAUUGCCCAGGGACACUGCUUGGCCCAUCCCGCGCCGAUCUAAAAGAAGAUCGCCUACGCGGUACUAUUACUCCCUAAAACGCGACAACCUUAUUAAUCCUCGACCUUCUAGGUCGAACACGAAACACUUAAUAUCGACUCAAAUCGGGCGAAAGUCACGCAAGGGCGUCUAUUCUCAUCACUCGGCUUUAUGUUGUGUGCACCCAACAUGAGCACCCUCUGUUGAGAAUAAACCUCACCCUUAGUCUACCUCUAACAUCCGUUUUAGAGGUUUAUGACACAACCCAAUCAAUUAACCUUUCGCCAAAAGUCACAAGUCCUCGUCUCUCACGAGCCUUAAUCUCCUAUGGUUUACUAUCCUAGGGUCUCCUAGGUCAAACUAAACCAUUUUCUAUCAUUCUUUUUAUGUUUCUUUUCUUCUCUGAUACCAUCUUAUCUGUCACGCCCCGCGACCGCCUAUUUGGUCGGUUUCGGGCACGCCAACAGAUCGCCGAACGGACAGGGUUUCCCCUGUACGGCGGACAGAGUCUCCCCUGUACGUUCAAGGCAUAACAAUCAAUACAAUGUGCGAAGUUCCAACCAGGAACACAUUUCAAUCAAGAUUGCAUAAUGGAAGGUAUCAAACAACAUAACACAUCCUAUGUUAUUACAUGCAUUCACAUUUAUACAUUUUACAUCCCAAAUACUUAUUACAUUUAACUUCCAAAUACAAUCCGAUUUAACAUGAUUAUUACAAUCCUAUUCCUUUCAUUUCCUUACAUCCCUAAGUAAAGCCGACUUAGGGUACCGCUAUCUCUGGUCUCGGUGGUAGGACGCUAACUAUGAUGCUACGCCCUCGCCUCGCGCCGCCGCGCCGCUCACGUGCGAACCUGUAAACACCCCAAAACCACGUGGGGUGAGAACCAACUCCAUGGUUCCCAGUGGGUA